Non-coding RNA from Felis catus (domestic cat), 85 nucleotides. NCBI's taxonomy places the organism in Eukaryota, Metazoa, Chordata, Mammalia, Carnivora, Felidae. The record is from Rfam.
GCCUGGGUGGCUCAGUCGGUUAAGCGUCUGACUUCGGCUCAGGUCAUGAUCUCGCGGUUCGUGAGUUCAAGCCCCGCGUCGGGCU